CCUCAUCCUCUGAGACGAUCAUCACCAUGUUCGCUGUGAAAGCAGUUUGCCUCCUCGCCACCGUUGCUCUGCUUAUUGCAAUGGUGCCUGAGGGAGCUCCGAAUAAGAGAGGCUGCAUACGUGGCAGUUUUGCCUCGCUCUUCUGUCACUAACCAUAAAGAUGAAGAGACGUCAAGCAUCUACUAAAGAGACUCUAAUUACUAAAAACAUUCUGUAGUCAAUUUUAAUAAAGUAGUCAUGCAUACCUA
Polypterus senegalus (gray bichir) is the source of this 248-nucleotide long non-coding RNA. RefSeq lists it as uncharacterized. NCBI's taxonomy places the organism in Eukaryota, Metazoa, Chordata, Cladistia, Polypteriformes, Polypteridae. The transcript has 4 exons. The record is from RefSeq and is a predicted model, not a curated record.